AUGAGUGAAAGCCUUUGCCCGAUCAUGUCGUGGAAUGUCCGCGGCCUAAACCAGCCGGCAAAACGGGUGGCAGUCUGCGAGGUAGUCACCGCCAGUAAAGUAGCGAUCAUGUGCCUGCAAGAAACCAAGAUCGGCGUCUGGACCUCAGCCAUCGUCAGAGAAAUUGGGGGUGCGACUCUGCCCGAAUGCAUUGUUCUCCCUACAAUCGGCUCCCGCGGCGGAGCAGCCAUCUUCUGGAACAGUGACCUGGCCACCAUUGCCUCCCAUGCUGUAGGCGAAUUCGCGAUCACUGCGCAGGCGACGCUACUCCAGCAAUCCUCGAGCUUCUGGCUAACGGCUGUUUAUGGACCAACCGAAGACAAUAGAAAAUCUGCCUUCCUCAACGAAUUAGCUAGAACGGCACCCCCUCCUGGUGAUCCAUGGCUCAUCAACGUCGAUUUUAACCUCAUCUACGAGGCGAGAGACAAAAACAACCACCACCUCAACCGCAGGCUCAUGGGCAUCUUCAGACGGGCCAUUGACAACGCCGGCCUAAAGGAAAUCAAAUGCAAGAACCGCCGAUACACCUGGAGCAACGAGCGCGAGAACCCGACCCUCGUUAGCAUUGACAAGUUUUUCUGCACUAGUAGUUGGGAUGAUCUCUUCCCCUCAAGUGUGCUGAUGGCAGCAUCUACAGCACUGUCAGAUCACUGCCCGCUUCUCCUGGCCGACGCUGCCGCCCCGCGCCGCCGUGCAAAAUUCAAAUUCGAGAGUUUCCGGUCGCUCUUCCCGCGCUUCUAG
Molecule: ribosomal RNA, 780 nt
Filed under: Triticum aestivum (bread wheat)
Lineage: Eukaryota; Viridiplantae; Streptophyta; Magnoliopsida; Poales; Poaceae
Description: partial small subunit ribosomal RNA
Source: RNAcentral